This 390-nucleotide ribosomal RNA is filed under the name uncultured bacterium. Its description in RNAcentral is "bacterial SSU rRNA". It matches the Rfam family "Bacterial small subunit ribosomal RNA", at positions 28 to 417 of the family's 1533-position model. The record is from RNAcentral.
GACGAACGCUGGCGGCGUGCUUAACACAUGCAAGUCGAGCGGUAAGGCCCUUUCGGGGUACGACGAGCGGCGAACGGGUGAGUAACACGUGGGUGACCUGCCCUCAGCUCUGGGAGUAAGCCUGGGAAACCGGGUCUAAUACCGGAUAUGACUCCAUGACGCAUGUUGUGGGGUGGAAAGCCUUGUGCGGCUGAGGAUGGGCCCGCGGCCUAUCAGCUUGUUGGUGGGGUGAUGGCCUACCAAGGCGACGACGGGUAGCCGGCCUGAGAGGGCGACCGGCCACACUGGGACUGAGACACGGCCCAGACUCCUACGGGAGGCAGCAGUGGGGAAUCUUGCGCAAUGGGCGAAAAGCCUGACGCAGCGACGCCGCGUGAGGGAUGACGGCCU